This 253-nucleotide ribosomal RNA is filed under the name uncultured bacterium. Its description in RNAcentral is "partial 16S ribosomal RNA". It matches the Rfam family "Bacterial small subunit ribosomal RNA", at positions 524 to 776 of the family's 1533-position model. The record is from RNAcentral.
UACGGAGGGUGCAAGCGUUGUUCGGAAUUAUUGGGCGUAAAGCGCGCGCAGGUGGACUGCAAGGUCUGGUGUGAAAGCCCUCGGCUUAACCGAGGAAGCGCAUUGGAAACCGGUAGUCUUGAGUCCCGGAGAGGGUAGCGGAAUUCCCAGUGUAGAGGUGAAAUUCGUAGAUAUUGGGAGGAACCCCGGUGGCGAAGGCGGCUACCUGGACGGUGACUGACGCUGAGGCGCGAAAGCAUGGGGAGCAAACAGG